Molecule: ribosomal RNA, 130 nt
Filed under: uncultured bacterium
Lineage: Bacteria
Description: partial 16S ribosomal RNA
Rfam family: Bacterial small subunit ribosomal RNA
Source: RNAcentral
UAUUGCACAAUGGGGGAAACCCUGAUGCAGCGACGCCGCGUGAGCGAUGAAGUAUUUCGGUAUGUAAAGCUCUAUCAGCAGGGAAGAAAAUGACGGUACCUGACUAAGAAGCCCCGGCUAACUACGUGCC